GACGAACGCUGGCGGUGUGCUUCACACAUGCAAGUCGAACGAGGUAGCAAUACCUAGUGGCGGACGGGUGAGUAACGCGUGGGAAUCUGCCUUUAGAUGGGGGAUAACGGGUCGAAAGACUCGCUAAUACCGCAUAUGACGAAAGUUGAAAGGAGUAAUCCGUCUAAAGAUGAGCCCGCGUCCGAUUAGCUAGUUGGUAGAGUAAAAGCCUACCAAGGCGACGAUCGGUAGCUGGUCUGAGAGGAUGAUCAGCCACAAUGGGACUAG
Molecule: ribosomal RNA, 267 nt
Filed under: uncultured bacterium
Lineage: Bacteria
Description: partial 16S ribosomal RNA
Rfam family: Bacterial small subunit ribosomal RNA
Source: RNAcentral